GGAAAUGUGGCUGAGUGGUAGAGUGCUUGUCUAGUAUGCAGGAAGCCUUGGGUUCAACUCCUCAGUACCA
RNAcentral lists this transfer RNA (70 nucleotides) under Dipodomys ordii (Ord's kangaroo rat). It matches the Rfam family "tRNA". From Rfam's summary of the family: Transfer RNA (tRNA) molecules are approximately 80 nucleotides in length. The record is from Rfam by way of RNAcentral. Lineage: Eukaryota; Metazoa; Chordata; Mammalia; Rodentia; Heteromyidae.